This 682-nucleotide unclassified non-coding RNA is filed under the name Hevea brasiliensis (rubber tree). The record is from RNAcentral. Lineage: Eukaryota; Viridiplantae; Streptophyta; Magnoliopsida; Malpighiales; Euphorbiaceae.
AGUGUGCAAUUUGUUCUUUAGAGGAUGUGGCUGCAGUGAAGCCUGGAAAGGUGAAAGUCAGUGGAUAUGCGGCAUCAGGAGGUGGCCGUGGAAUUGAGAGAAUAGAUGUGUCUGUUGAUGGUGGCAAAACCUGGGUGGAAGCUUUUAGACAUCAGAAGACUGGUGUCCCUUAUAUCGCAGAUGAUAUGAACAGUGACAAAUGGGCAUGGGUACUUUUUGAGGUCAUAGUUGAUGUGUCACGCAGCACAGAGAUUGUUGCAAAAGCAGUGGAUUCAGCAGCAAAUGUCCAACCAGAAAAUGUACUAGAGAUUUGGAAUUUGAGAGGGAUACUUAACACUUCGUGGCAUCGUGUUAAAGUCCAAGUUGGUCACUCAAACAUGUAGACCAUGUUUGGGUUUGGUUUUCCAUAUCCAUAUGGUACUAGAAUAACAUUCCUAGUGCUUUGACAGUGCUGUUUACUAAGUUGCUUAAGCUUUUAUUUUUCAUAUGUACAGACAUGUUACCUUUUAGCAUCAGUGUGACUACCGCUCUUGACUUGUGAUAAUCAGUGUUGAUCAAAAUAACUUGUGGUAGGGGGAGCCUAGAAAAGCAGUCUCUCCAUUGUUGGACAAUGAACUAUGAUGUUAAAUUUUGUAAAAUAAUUACUGCUUGGUUAAUCGUUUUUGUUUUUUAAGGCACGGGG